GCUUAGGUAGCCUAGCAGUUAAGGCAGCCCAUGCAUGUUGCAUCUGGUUGCUGGUUCAAAUCCGGCCCCAACUG
Molecule: non-coding RNA, 74 nt
Organism: Cronartium quercuum f. sp. fusiforme G11
Lineage: Eukaryota; Fungi; Basidiomycota; Pucciniomycetes; Pucciniales; Coleosporiaceae
Source: the annotation of a GenBank genome assembly